This 482-nucleotide ribosomal RNA is filed under the name uncultured bacterium. RNAcentral's name for it is "partial 16S ribosomal RNA". It matches the Rfam family "Bacterial small subunit ribosomal RNA", at positions 29 to 507 of the family's 1533-position model. The record is from RNAcentral.
AUUGAACGCUGGCGGCAUGCUUUACACAUGCAAGUCGAACGGUAACAGGCCGCAAGGUGCUGACGAGUGGCGAACGGGGGCGUAAUGCAGCGGAACGCGCCCAGACGUGGGGGUUAACUACGCGAAAGAGUAGCUAAUACCGCAUACGAUCUAUGGAUGAAAGCGGGGGACCGUAAGGCCUCGCGCGAUCGUAGCGGCCGAUGUCAGAUGAGGUAGUUGGUGGGGUAAAGGCUCACCAAGCCGACGAUCUGUAGCUGGUCUGAGAGGACGACCAGCCACACUGGGACUGAGACACGGCCCAGACUCCUACGGGAGGCAGCAGUGGGGAAUUUUGGACAAAGGGCGCAAGCCUGAUCCAGCAAUGCCGCGUGCAGGAAGAAGGCCUUCGGGUUGUAAACUGCUUUUGUACGGAAAGAAACGGCUCUGGUUAAUACCCGGGGCUAAUGACGGUACCGUAAGAAUAAGCACCGGCUAACUACGUG